UACGUAGGGGGCGAGCGUUGUCCGGAAUUACUGGGCGUAAAGGGCGCGUAGGCGGCCCGUUAAGUCCGCUGUGAAAGACCGAGGCUCAACCUCGGGGUGUCAGCGGAGACUGGGGGGCUGGAGUCUCGGAGAGGGAUGCGGAAUACCUGGUGUAGCGGUGGAAUGCGUAGAGAUCAGGUGGAACACCGAUGGCGAAGGCAGCAUCCUGGCCGAGGACUGACGCUGAGGCGCGAAAGCGUGGGGAGCGAACGGG
RNAcentral lists this ribosomal RNA (253 nucleotides) under uncultured bacterium. Its description in RNAcentral is "partial 16S ribosomal RNA". It matches the Rfam family "Bacterial small subunit ribosomal RNA", at positions 524 to 776 of the family's 1533-position model. The record is from RNAcentral.